UACGGAGGGUGCAAGCGUUGUCCGGAUUUAUUGGGUUUAAAGGGUGCGUAGGCGGGAGAUUAAGUCAGUGGUGAAAGCCCACAGCUCAACUGUGGAACUGCCAAUGAUACUGGUUUUCUUGAGUAUAGAUGAGGCAGGCGGAAUUUACGAUGUAGCGGUGAAAUGCAUAGAUAUCGUAAAGAACACCUAUAGCGAAGGCAGCCUGCUAAACUAUAACUGACGCUGAGGCACGAAAGCAUGGGGAGCGAAC
RNAcentral lists this ribosomal RNA (250 nucleotides) under uncultured bacterium. RNAcentral describes it as "partial 16S ribosomal RNA". It matches the Rfam family "Bacterial small subunit ribosomal RNA", at positions 524 to 773 of the family's 1533-position model. The record is from RNAcentral.